UAUUCUGCCCCAUGGGGAAGGAUGAGAAGCUUCGACUAAGGUUCGACUCGAGCGCCAGCGAGAGAACGUUGCCACAGGCAACUGCCCGAAGGGCGAGGCGCUUUAGCGCCGAGUAAUCCUUCCCCCACCACCA
RNAcentral lists this small RNA (133 nucleotides) under Klebsiella pneumoniae. RNAcentral's name for it is "RtT sRNA". It matches the Rfam family "RtT RNA". Rfam says of the family: This family represents a bacterial cis-regulatory element known as RtT RNA. Lineage: Bacteria; Pseudomonadati; Pseudomonadota; Gammaproteobacteria; Enterobacterales; Enterobacteriaceae. The record is from RNAcentral.